AACGAACGCUGGCGGCAUGCCUAACACAUGCAAGUCGAACGAGACCUUCGGGUCUAGUGGCGCACGGGUGCGUAACGCGUGGGAACCUGCCCUUAGGUUCGGAAUAACUCCCCGAAAGGGGUGCUAAUACCGGAUAAUGUCUUCGGACCAAAGAUUUAUCGCCUUUGGAUGGGCCCGCGUUGGAUUAGCUAGUUGGUAGGGUAAAAGCCUACCAAGGCGACGAUCCAUAGCUGGUCUGAGAGGAUGAUCAGCCACACUGGGACUGAGACACGGCCCAGACUCCUACGGGAGGCAGCAGUGGGGAAUAUUGGAGAUGGGCGAAAGCCUGAUCCAGCAACGCCGCGUGAGUGAUGAAGGCCUUAGGGUUGUAAAGCUCUUUUACCCGGGAUGAUAAUGACAGUACCGGGAGAAUAAGCUCCGGCUAACUCCGUG
This 432-nucleotide ribosomal RNA is filed under the name uncultured bacterium. RNAcentral describes it as "partial 16S ribosomal RNA". It matches the Rfam family "Bacterial small subunit ribosomal RNA", at positions 29 to 507 of the family's 1533-position model. The record is from RNAcentral.